This 250-nucleotide ribosomal RNA is filed under the name uncultured Bacteroidota bacterium. RNAcentral describes it as "uncultured Bacteroidetes bacterium partial 16S ribosomal RNA". It matches the Rfam family "Bacterial small subunit ribosomal RNA", at positions 524 to 773 of the family's 1533-position model. The record is from RNAcentral. Lineage: Bacteria; Pseudomonadati; Bacteroidota.
UACGGAGGAUCCAAGCGUUAUCCGGAUUUAUUGGGUUUAAAGGGUGCGUAGGUGGGAUGAUAAGUCAGAGGUGAAAGCUAGCAGCUUAACUGUUAAAUUGCCUUUGAUACUGUUAUUCUUGAGUGUAGUUGGCGUUGGCGGAAUGUGACAUGUAGCGGUGAAAUGCGUAGAUAUGUCACAGAACACCGAUCGCGAAGGCAGCUAACGAAGCUAUCACUGACACUGAUGCACGAAAGCGUGGGGAGCAAAC